CCCUGGUCAACGUUUUCGUGUCACUUUCCAACCUCUCUCUGUCAAGAAACCAGGAAAUUUCCCCGUCUAUUUCCAUUAAUGGCUUUCGUGAUUCCGAUGCGGUUCUGACAGGGACAAUAAAGAUUUCCUAAUUCGAGGCCUGCUCAGGAAUCCAAACCCCCGAACUUUCUCCCCUCAACGUCACCGUGCAAGUUCCUGGAAGUUUCCCCAGAAGCGUGAACGUCCACGCACGCCGCUGCGUAGUUUCUUCCCCAGUUUCGCGAAGAACAAGACUUCUAGCUCUUCUGUCGUCUUUCUCGGUCUUCUUCUGUUCUACACGCCCAAACCCAUGGAGUUUCUUCCGAUGAAUUCCGCACCCCGGAGUCAAUGAGACGGCUCUCGUUCAGCGGUCGUCGCACCACCGUACUCAAGUUGUUGUCGCGGCCCGUCGCCCUGCGCAGAACCGUCUUCGUCAAACACGGAGCGGAACAGAGACCGACGUUCGCCGCGGACGCUGGUGGCGAACCAGUCGGCGAUCGGCGAGUGGACCAAUCGGCCAUCACUGCUUGCUGGGUUUCGCUCAACUCAGUCCAGUCGGGUGGGGCAGAGGUCGCUCGUCGUCGUCGUCGAAUGUCUCAAAUCGUCAUGGAUUUCGUCGAAUUAGAUGGUGUCAGCUUUCAACGAGAUUCGAUCGGAUCGUGCGGCAAGCAACUGGCCAUCGAAGCUCCCUCAUCCUCCAGACUCGCAGCCUUGGAGCUUACGGUGGGUGAGUAGAAACAGAGACAGGCGAAGCAUCCGUUUUAUACGAGGUUCUUCAGUGAGCUGCAAAGUCUUCCUCGGAGAACCUCGCCCCGCGCCACGUCUGCCAGUCGUGCUUGGUAUAGCGCGCCGCCGUUCACCGCCGAGCGGAUCUCCGUCCGUGUUUACACGUGACGCCGACCUUCAUCGCAAUUCCGGAGAACAUGGGCCGGCGAGGUAUUGGCUGAUCUACUGUUUUAAUCGUGCGGUACGUUCGGUUAAAGUCUCGAAUGAGGAUUUUCUGGUGUGAGCAGCCACUGGAGUGUUGGAGAUUUUGGCUUUAAAUGAUUUGGUUACUUGAAAUUUCUGCUGAUUGAGUGAGCUACUGGAGGCGAGCAGAAAGGACGAACAAAGGAGAAAAGAGAGGAGGAAAAGUAGAAGGUAGAUGAUAAAUAAAGAUGAGAAAGUACUUGACAUAAAAAACUAUAUAUAAAAAAAGAUAUGUAAUAAGAAAGAUUAAAAAAUAAAACAUUAGAUUGCAUUUAGGUGUUCCAUGACUAGUUUCAUUAUCGUCGUAUUAGAAUUUGUCAUUCACUAUGUAGAUCAACAAAUUUACAUUUAUUAAUUUAGUACGCAUUUGUUUUUAUGAACCGCUCACAAGGUCAUGUUCCUGGGCGUAAUAACAAAACCCUGAUUAAUCUUGCCCAGUAUGGCUCGAGUAAUUUGUCAUUCUUGACAUAUAUGCAGUUUAUCUGCUUUUAUUUGUUAUUGCUUGGUUGUUUAUUUUUAUUGCUUGAGUGCUAUGCAAGGUCAUCUUGCUUCCACAUGUUAGAAGGUUUCGGUAAUAAGAUUGAUGGAGAUCACACUAUAAACGUUUUCAUAGAGAGAUAAGGUAUUGAAAGAGCGUUACAUUAAUUUGGCAUAGCCAAGUAUUAUAUUUAGAAUCUUAGAUUUGUGGGAGUAAGGCGUACCCUAGCAUGUUACUCGAGCUCCUAUGUGGCCUCUAUUAGGUUAGUGGCAGCUGUUAAAGUAAAAAUAAUUUUCACAAUUAAUCAAGGAAAUCAAGUUGCGAUUGGUAGGAUUUGAGAGAGUCCAACUAAGCACAACCGCCACCUUACAUUCACCCUUGCUUGGCAAUCCAUCAAACCUUCCUUGGGGUUCGCCUCAUAAGGGUCACAACAAUGAGCGUGUGGCGUCCCUUUCCAUCUCCUCACCUGACUAUGCCUCAUCCUGGGGCGAGCUAGGGAUGACAUUGUAGCACCUAGUCUCCGAGGAAGAGAUGAAGAUCAAAUAUGUGUACAAGAUGGAUAGGACUUGGCUGGAAGAGUAGAUGAGGGUGGACAUUAUGAGGGGAUGGGACUUGCAAGUGACCGCCGAAGCAUCGAUGCUUCAUCGGUCAAGGUGAGGUUGCCGGGGAAUCGUAAGACGAGGGUGAGCAGGACCGUGGCUUCAAUGAACUGCGAUGUUUUGAUCACAGUUAGUACCAUUAUGCUAACACAUUAGAUUCAAAUUGGAGACUAAGCACAUUGAGAUUUCCUCCUCCUUCCCCUCCCCCAAUGCCACGUAUUGUCACACCGAGUUUGAUGUCGCAUCGACAGGAUGGGAGGUGGAGGAUCGAGAUGGAAGGGGUGGCAAGAGACAUCUGACUUGCAAAAUAUUUUAGUUUAUAUCAAUAUUAGUCAAAUCGAAAUGUUUGGAUAUUUACAUAAAAAAAAGUUCAUAAAUUGUAAAUUAAUGUGCGAUUUAGUGACAAAGUGGUGUGAGUUUAGUGUA
Eucalyptus grandis is the source of this 2490-nucleotide long non-coding RNA. RefSeq lists it as uncharacterized. NCBI's taxonomy places the organism in Eukaryota, Viridiplantae, Streptophyta, Magnoliopsida, Myrtales, Myrtaceae. The transcript has 2 exons. The record is from RefSeq and is a predicted model, not a curated record.